This 832-nucleotide long non-coding RNA is filed under the name Apteryx rowi (Okarito brown kiwi). RNAcentral describes it as "lncRNA (ENSARWG00000008962.1)". The record is from RNAcentral. Lineage: Eukaryota; Metazoa; Chordata; Aves; Apterygiformes; Apterygidae.
CUAAUCAUGUGUUGCCAGCACUCCCCUUGCAUAGUUUUUACAGACUAUAUAACCAACAUGUGUUGCAAGUUGCAACUCACUCUCUUUUCCUUUCGGCUGGAGAACGGUGGUGACACGAUAGACCACAGUGGUUCUUCCUGGCAAGCGACAACAUUUGGUGUGGUGCUUGAACAGAGAGGCACAAGAAUCAGCUGUGGUGACCUCUCAGACUUGGACAACCCAGAUGGACUGGACUGCCUCUAGGAUCUGCUUGUUAGGCUGGAGCUUAAGCAAAUAGCAUUGCUGGAAUUUUCUGACUGCUGAAAACUAUUAUAAUCCACCUGGAAAUAAUACUAAAAUAUUCUUAAAAAUCCUGCUAAUAAGAAGACCUCUGCAUGUUCCUCCAAGUCUUAGCCAUUGAGGCAGCUGCCGAUAUUGGAUGCAUAUCAGAGGGGCCAGUGCCCAAGAGAGGAAAUGCAUGCGGCUAGGAUGCACCAUGGUCUGGUUCUGGCUCAAGGACCAAGAAAUGCUCACAGUGAGGCUCUCCUGCCAAGAGACAGAAAACAAGCCCCUGAAAAGGAGAAUUCAGACUCUGUGUCCCAGGUCUCCUUAGCACAAUAUCUACUAGGUGUGAUAAGCAGAAACAACACAAGUAACUCAGCAAGCAUUUUAAGGAUGUCCAAGGAAAUGAAUGCAAACAUGCAAAAAGAUUUGUAUGAGAUUUGAAGCAUCAGAAUUGCAGCAAAUAUUCCAGGAAAACAUACAUCGCACAGUCAAAACUCCAUGAAAACCACCCUAGGAAUGGACCUUUGGAUUGGGUUGAUGGGUGUAUUUUAGAGAAAGAGAUUCCAGA